Molecule: long non-coding RNA, 4743 nt
Organism: Scylla paramamosain (green mud crab)
Lineage: Eukaryota; Metazoa; Arthropoda; Malacostraca; Decapoda; Portunidae
Exons: 2
Source: RefSeq, a predicted model, not a curated record
AAAGAAAGGAAAUAAAAAGAAAAAAGUGGAUUAUUGAAAUUACCAUAGCCUACUAAUUUCCAGAUAGUAACCAGUACUUAUUUCUGGGGUCAGUCACCCAGUCAACCACUUCCCAGUCACACUUCUUUCUCUCCACCAGAACAAAUCUUUCAGUCGUCUAUCUAACAGGCUUAAUGAAUCAGCUGCAGGCAACAAAGACCUCAAUCCCCAACACUUCGCUCACUUGCUGACAUCCACGCCACCAUUCGCAAGAGUCUUCAUGAAGCAGCGAGGAUACUGCUGUUUCGUUUCGACCACUGCUUCGGCUUCAGUCUCGUUCCUCGCUUUCGCUUUCGACUCAAUCUUACACUAAAACCACAUUCGUUGUUAUAUUGUCUAUCAUACCAAUCAAUCAGUCAAUCAGUCAACUCUCUCUUUAGAAUCAUGGUAGUCCACCUCAUUCCGGCGAACCAAACUAUUGUUAAUGAUGUACAGUACAUAAUUGUUAUAAUGUCAUUACCGUUAUAUUGAUCUAAAGUGACAUUCUAAUCUUACGUGGCAAACUAACAACUUAAUCUAGCCUAAUCCAACUUAAGCUAGCUUAAGCCUAAGCUUAGCCUAACCCAACUUAAGCGAGUGAGUCUUAAGUGAAAAUCUAACCUAAUCGUAUCUACUGUGACUUAAUUAUAACCUAACCUAAUCUAACGUGACAAUCUAACCUAACUUGCACUAACCUCAUCCAAGGUGACAAUCUAACCUACCCCUAACCCAACCUAAUCUAGCUAAACGCAACUUUAUCUAAUAUUACCUAACUUAACCUAACAACCUGACAACCUAACCUAACCAAACGCAACCUGACUGCAAGAGCGGGACGUUAAUUCGGUAAUAAUAAUAAUAAUAAUAAUAAUAAUAAUAAUAAUAAUAAUAAUAAUAAUAAUAAUAAUAAUAAUAAUAAUAAUAAUAAUACUUUCCCGCAUUCACAGCAUCCCCACACAUCCUCACCCACAAAUGACUCGCCCAUAUUCUGAAACACUCCGCUCUCUCAUCAGGUCUAUUUUCUGAUGCUACAGAGCUGAUCAGUUGGAUUCUCAAGUGUGUUUCUCUUCUUAAUAAUGUACAAAUCUGGUUAAUCUAAUAAUCACUACAACCAUAAAAAUAAAAAUAAAUAAAUAAAUAAAUAAAAAUCAAUGUACGUACGUAAUUUCAACUAAAGCCUUUGGAAAGUAGUGGAGAUGCGGAGCAGAAGUGUUUCAGAAUCCUGACCUCACACAUCCUACGCCUCUCCCUCUCACCCCUUGAGGUCUUUCCCACUCACCCCUCGACACCCAUCCCUGCUGCUCCCCCAUCACGCACGCCCCCACAGGUGAUAGGGGGGAAUUCUCCGUGAAGACAAUAACAACAACAGGUGCUUCGAACAUAACAGGAUACAGACAUCUCGGCCCAUGCACCUCCUCCUCCUCCUCCUCCUUUCCCUUAACACUGUGUUGUAAUAAGAGGGAUUUCUCUCUCUCUCUCUCUCUCUCUCUCUCUCUCUCUCUCUCUCUCUCUCUCUCUCUCUGAGCCAGCAGGAUACCCAAAGGUGUCAAUUCUAGGGAUUUUAAUAGCGUUCGCACCCACACACUCAUCAAGACGCCCCAUCCAUCAGCUGGACAGCCUGGAGCACCGAAGGAGAGUGGGGGCUCUCACAGUGCUGCACAAGGGCCAGGUGCAGCAAACAUCUCACCUCGCGGCGCUUUGGAUCCCCUGGAGGAGUGAACGCACUACGGGACCGGUAGUGUCCGACAUCCUCCUCGAGAUGCCGAGGUGCCGCUCGGUGAGGUGUCAACGUGCCUUCUCCCACGACACCGCGGUGCUGCGGAACACCUUCACCUCAGCAGUGGAUGUCACCAGGAUGUCCUUCCAGCAGGUGAAGUGCGCCGCCUGCGCCUGGUAGUGACGGUAACGCGGGGUGACGAAGGAAAUGGAAAUGCCUGACAGCGACAGUGCCAUGAAGUGCCGAGGGAUAAUUUGGCGAAAGUGUACCUGACUGUGGCAGUGCUAUAGUGUGAUGAUGUGCCUGACAGUGAAAGUCAGUGAUCUGGGAGGUGGGAGUGCCUGAAGGUGAUAGUGCCGAACAAUGACGAGAGAGGUGCGAAUGACAGUGACAUUGCAGUGAGUCCCUUUGUUCACAAAGCCGUCCCGUGGAGCAUCCUUUAAAUGAAUGACACUGGACAGGGGCCAUUCUUUACUUAAGAUCAUAGCUCCGUUUUGAAAAGUUAAGGAAUCUACUUUUUUUUAUGUUCACUAUGUUUAAAAUAAAUAAAGAAGAGAGAGAGAGAGACGGGGAGACAACAUGUGGGAAGCAACGGCCUGAGUCGUCAUUCCGUGAUUUAUCCAUUAUUACUCAAAAAAAAAAAAAAAAAAAAAUUCCGAUGAACUUGAAGGAUGAAAAAUAAAGACAAAGCAAAGGAAAAAAUCCAGGACCUAAAGACAAAAACAAGAAAAAAAAGGCAAAAAAAAAACUACAAUAAAGCUGAUAAUAAUAAUAAUGAUAAUAAUAAUAAUAAUAAUAAUAAUAAUAAUAAUAAUAAUAAUAAUAAUAAUAAUAAUGAUAAAUAACAAAAGUAAAUAAUUUCAUACUUCACAUAUACGUACAGCUUCUGAUGAGGACAAAAGGGAGACCAGCUGCGUCUUAGUCAUGAACCCGCACUGACACACUGUUCUCUCAUAAGGACUAUUUUCCAAAGCCCGCACCAGCGAAUAGUCCUUCAGCUUUGAUAGCACUGUAAUUAUGAGAACCUAAGUAACUCGCAGUCUCCCGCUAUACCCUGGCAGAGUAAUGGAAAUCCUUGUUGACUGUCACUGGAAUCAUGAAACCUUCCACUACAGCCUCUUAACAAACAGACAGUUUGACAGACAGUGGAAGGAAAGGAGAAAGGAGGGUGUAAUAUUUCGGGAAAGUCAAAAUGUAGUGGAAAACUUGUCGAGCAAUGCUUACCUUGCAAACAUUCAAGACAAAAAAAAAGAAAAAAAAAAAUAACGCGCAGUUAAACCGGUCCGUGCAAUGGGAAAACCCAAUGAGUGGCGACACUAGUGACUGGAAACACUGCAACACUUGUUCAAAUGUAUUUUUAUGUCAUUAAAUGUUUUAGUUAUUCACACAAACCAUGGGCAGACAACAGGUUUGUGCCUUGCUGGCGUGUGGCUGGGGAGCGAGAGCCAUCCGGUGGUUGUGCGCGUGAACUGUGUGUGUGAGCCUUCAACAAUUAUCAGCCAAGGAGACAAGACGAUGUUCGGUGGGCUGGCAAACCACAAACGACAGAGGUAGUAGUAGUAGUAGUAGUAGUAGUAGUCAUAAUAGCGAUAUUAUCAUGAAACAAAUAUAAACAAAUGAAUAAAUAAAUAAAUAAAUACAAAUCUAUAGCGCCAUCACGAAAUCCAAACAUUACACAACUAAAGCAAAGAAAGAAGAAAAACCAAAAGUUUGGUCCAGGAAGCGAGUGGCUCACUCUCGUUACAGAAAACUAUCUUUAGGACUUUCGUUCAGCCACUUUGACUCAACCGAUGAUGAUAUUCGAAAAAUAGUGCGGGACUUUCGGCAAUGUUGGUAGACCUGCUGACCCAGUACCACAUAUGCCUCAGUUUAUGUAAUGAUCGCAUUUUUUUUUAUUUUAUUUAUUUAUUUUUAUUUCAUACAGGUAUAACAUUUAAUUCAUAACUAAAAGGAAAGCUACCUUCCUUAUUAACAGAUACACCUCCACGCACUAGUACCAGUCCUUCCAAGACAUCCUGUGCAGUUACUUUUCGCAUCCAUCGUUCAUUUGAGUAAAGAUAUUUUCCUGAGUGAGUGUACACGGGUUCACAGGGAUCAAGGAGAGGCGCCGCCCGACAUUUUAUUGCCAUUUUCCUGUAUUGCGCAACGGCAGUCGGAGGCCCCCGUGUGUGUCCAGGUGGGCUGUGUAACUUCCAGGUAGAUACGUGCGUUGUCUUGUCAUUGAGGAAAAAAAAAAGUCUAGAAAUUCCUACACACACACACACACACACACACACACGGCAUUUAGGGGUGAAAUGAAGCCGUGGUGGUGUUGCCGUCUCACCUCAUAACACAUGACACACAGCAACGAGCGACGAAAAACAUAGCGGAAGAAUAUAAAGAGAGAGAGAGAGAGAGAGAGAGAGAGAGAGAGAGAGAAGGAGGCGAUAGAAAGCCUAUGCUGUCGACCGACACUCCCUUAGCAACAACCCCAGCGAGUGACGGAAGCCACCACCUUGACUCACCAACAGUGUGCUUCCUUCCUUCCUCUGGUAACCGCUAGGGGGAUGUGGCAGUGUUUAGGGAUGUUCUAAGACACUGGUGCUCGUGCGUACAUCCCCGACGUCACCUCAGCCUCAGAGAACAGUCAGUCUUCUCAAGGCUCACUGUGCCACUCGCUGCUUCAGAACCACCGAACGCAACUUAUUCAGUGACCGUCCAGAAUUUGAAAAAAAUGAAGUGGUUAAUUGUAUUUAUAGGCACAAAGGAGGCACUGAUCUGUGUUUUUAGUAUUAAAUCAGACUGGAAAUAAACUCUCUCUCUCUCUCUCUCUUAAAACCAAAUUAUUAAAUUCUAAAUUUACGCAUAUUGUCUGAAAUACAGUUGCCUUUGGUAAUACAUUCCACUGAUGUUUUAUUUAGUGUGCGUGCGUGUGUGUGUGUGUUAUUGUUCUUAUGUGUUAACUAUUCUGUUCAUCACCAAGAGCUCAGACUUACGUCACUCCUCGAAUAACAAAUAAAACCACAAUGUUU